AGGAGAGUGAGCUCCUGUGAACGGCUCUUCCCUUCCUCGUGGUGACCCGGGCCUCUGCUGCCACAUCCCAGAUGGCUCUUACACGUGGCCACACCAUGGCAGGGGGGAUAGAGACCAGGCGCCAUGAGGUCACAGGCCAGCCCUUAGGAUUCCGGCUGGGACAGAGGCAGUGCUUG
This 176-nucleotide long non-coding RNA is filed under the name Cavia porcellus (domestic guinea pig). RNAcentral's name for it is "lncRNA (ENSCPOG00000031269.1)". The record is from RNAcentral. Lineage: Eukaryota; Metazoa; Chordata; Mammalia; Rodentia; Caviidae.